RNAcentral lists this non-coding RNA (120 nucleotides) under uncultured Anaerobutyricum sp. Its description in RNAcentral is "FMN riboswitch (RFN element)". It matches the Rfam family "FMN riboswitch aptamer (RFN element)". From Rfam's summary of the family: The RFN element is a highly conserved domain that is found frequently in the 5'-untranslated regions of prokaryotic mRNAs that encode for flavin mononucleotide (FMN) biosynthesis and transport proteins. This element is a metabolite-dependent riboswitch that directly binds FMN in the absence of proteins. In Bacillus subtilis, the riboswitch most likely controls gene expression by causing premature transcription termination within the 5' untranslated region of the ribDEAHT operon and precluding access to the ribosome-binding site of ypaA mRNA. The record is from RNAcentral. Lineage: Bacteria; Bacillati; Bacillota; Clostridia; Lachnospirales; Lachnospiraceae.
UUCUUCGGGGCAGGGUGAGAUUCCCGACCGGCGGUAUGCGAAAAACGCGAGCCCGCGAGCCGAACAGGCAUGAUCCGGUGAGAAUCCGGAGCCGACAGUACAGUCUGGAUGUGAGAAGAA